UCGUGGUUGUGAUCACCGGAAAGAUCACGAGAUAUCUCUAGUUAAGACCUUGAGGUUGGUACAUUUGUGAUCCAUGAGUGAUCACCGUUCGGUUGCGAGGCAAUCCGUUGGUAAGAGAGUCCGAGGGACUCGGUGCACAAGUUUGGUUGCAUUGCAUGAGUAGUAAGUUUUUAUUUGCAUUUAAAGAACCAUGGGAGAACAUGAGAUGGUUGCAUGAUGGUAGCAUGUUAUGUCUGCAUUGGAUAUGAUUGAUAGCUUAUUUUCAGCAUAGUUUCAGGAUGCCAUGCUAUGUUUGGAUUGAGUAUAUGCCAUGUUUUGAUUGAACUCGUGCCAUGCUUAGAUUAUGUCAUGAUCAAGAUGCUAUGCUAUGCCAGGUUUUGCCGUUGCCAUGUUAGAAGUAAAUUUGAUAUGCCAUGUUAUUUCCAUGUUAGUAGAUGCUAUGAUGUUGUUCAUGCUCAGUUGAUCUAUAUCAUGCCAUGUUUAGUAAUUGAUAUGAGAUAGGUUGAUGCAUACGCUUGGUUCCUGCUUUGUCUUCUGUUUGUUUGGAUGCUAUGUAUUUGGUUGUCUUGCAAGUACAUUCAAUAUACUGACCUGGCGUGUCAUGCCAGUUUUGUAGGUCGUGCUCGAAAUUUCGUUGUUUCGUCAUGCUAGGCCGUAAUCUUGUCAGUCCUGUGAGUUGUGGAGCCCAGCCAGAGUGAUAUGCUGCCAAGACUUCCGCCGCCAUUUAAAUAGACUUUUGCUGUCAUGUAAAUAGCCUUAGGGCUAUGCUAGAAGAUUAUAUUCAUCACUGAUGUAAUCAUAUACACAUGUAUUUGAUGAAUAUUCUUGUACCUGGAAUGUUGUAUCAUGGACCUGUCGUGCGUCACGUGUUAUCCUGGGCUGACGUGCGAAGGCCCCCUGUUCCAUGCGGAUCGGGGUGCCACAGGGCUUGGUACCAGAGCAGCCAGGCUGGCGUAGAUUAUCCGAGCAUUAGAUCACCGCUACCAUCAACCCAUAAUGAACCUAAGGGAUUUGACCCAUCCCUAGCAUCCGGCAUGGCCACUGUUAAUCAACAGGUGGCGCAGUUGGGACCGACACGACCUCACCCUGCUGUCCCCGCCUAGUUAUCCGUGGAACAUGCAGCAAUCCUAUCCUUUCUGGUCGGCCGCACCACUUUCCCUUCACCAGUAAGGGAAAGGGGCCACACCAUGCGGGCCUGUCCCGCGUAGCUGCCUAUGAAACCCCCUUUCCGCUAGCCGUUUCGCUCGCUCCUCAAUCCGCCAUGUCCCUGCAGAGAAGCUUAGCUAGUAACUCCCCAGUCAUGACUAGCAGCUCCAAAACUUCCACAUAUUACACCCGCACCUAUGCCGUCGACCACCCUGGCUUUCCACCCCUUCUUGCCGAGAUGCUCACCAAAGCCUUUGGCGGUAAGACUAGUCCCGAUUACCUGGUGUUCCAAUCGGCACCCGUCCCUCACCUUCAUCGCUUUGUUGCAAGAGUGCACAUCAGCCUAGGUCCUGCAGCAGAUGUCCAACCUUUGGUUUUAUAGGGUAGAGCCAUGCCUACCUCUGAUUUAGCCAUUCAAGCCGCUGCUGUGGAGGCUAUCCUACACCUCUGAACCAAGUUCCCGCAUGUUGCAACAAGGCGGGAGUUCUGCUUUUCCCCACUGUGGCAAAAGCAGUAAUGCAGCCUUCUCCCGUUAGCCAAGGAGAUGAUCCCGCAAUCGCUCGCCUGGUGCAAUACAUCACUGCCCAGGGGAUGUUGAUUUCAAAGAUGCUUGCCGAGUUUAGAACCAUGGACAAUAAUGUGGUACGAUUCGUCACGUAAGCUUACCGUGAGGCUCGUAAGUUCGCAUCUCAAGCUGUUUGCCCAACGCCAUCCGAACCAGUGCUAUCCUCUCAACCUGUGCUGUGGCCCAAGCCAAACAUCAUCACCCUUGACAAGGCUCUUCUCCAGAUCCACCAGCAUCAUUUUCCUGGAUCAAUUUCAGCCCCACCGCCCCAACCCAUAGAAGUGUCAGACGAUGAAGAUGGAGAUUGGCUUAGUCUUUGUCCUCCUGGUGAGCCCCAGCAAGGCCAGUCUUCUGUAUGACCUCAGUCACGUAGUCAGUGGUUCCUGCUAGUCGAUCGGUCUGUCGGUUCGUCCCCGAUAUGAGGACAGAACCAUGUAUUCCCGGAGUGAGUAGUUUCGAUUAGCGCGUAGCGCAUUUGUGCUUUGAUGUAUGUUGGUACUGUUGUAACCCGUAUGUUGUGUUAUUUGCUUGCUUGAUUUUGUUUGUGUGUUUGUUUUUGCUUGUCUCUCUGUCAAACAGAAAUGUUUGACAGGGUUGACAAUGUGUGCUAACAAGAUUCUAAUCAGUAUGACACAUACACUAAAAACAACAUUGACUCGUUCCGAGUCUCUAAUAAAAUGCGCGCUGGUGUAGGUAUAUGUAUACCAGGAUUACAUAUACCCACUAGCAUUAAAACACCUUAGUGUGAUUUGUCUGGUGUGUUUUUCCGUUGCAUGUUUUUGCAUCUAUCUGUUUGUUUAUAUUUUACUGCAUACUGCACGCAUACCCGGUUCACCCACGAGUACAGUUGAGCAGUACUCGGGGAAUGCAAAGUCACAUAUCCCCCUCUAUCUGUGCAUACCCCGUGUGACAGGUUUUCCAAACCCAGAACCUCAAAGAGGCCAUUGUCAUCUGGCCAUUUCUCCUCCCUUAUUCUUUUUCAUGAGCCCAAUUGUGUUUCCAGAGGAACACUGCCAGCUUUAUUUUUCGCGAUCCAUUACAACUCCCCGAUACAGAUUUCAACUCCGAUUCUACCUCGACACCUACAUUUCAUAGAGCAAUCCACGAAAUCUUUCCCGUGCCCUAGUUUAACUCCUAAGCUGGCGUAGUCACCGCACCUGCAUCCGAACCCUUCCCCACCACCAUCACUGCCUUGCGUGGCGCCGCAAGUCACCACCACCGCAGCACGCGAUUACUCCGCCGGCGCGAGGCGACGGAGAACCAAGCGUAGCGCAGGACCACCUCAUGCACCAUCUUCUUCCGCACCUCGAGCCACAACACCCCGCUACGCAUUGUCUCGAGCCCGCUCGUUCCUGAUGAGUAUCACUAGGAGGAUCGCCGAGCUGAUCAGCAUGCCCAGCAGUGCCGCGAAGAACAACCGUAGCGCCACCAAGAACACCUCCUCGCCGCAGGAUCUCGACUCAAUCUCGCCCAAACUGAAGAGGUAGUAGAGUGGCAUUGUGUUUGUGUGUUGGAAGCGAGCCGCGCUACCGUUUUUAUAGCCCAACCCUGGUGAACGGUGAGCUGAGUCCAGGAAAAUCGCUCGUCGCCCGAUCACCGGCGUCCAGGAGGCGAAUCCGCAAGCAGUGCCGACAAGGUGCUGGCCCACGACGUGAGUGCUCGCUGCACCGGCGUCGUGCACGUCGCGCACUACGUCUCUAGGGCCCUCAUCGCCCUAGGAGCUAGAUGCGCGCUGCACCAAGCCGCACGUGAAGUAGCAGCACAGGAGAAGCAGCUAGCCGGAGGUAGAAGAAGGAGGCUGCCAGUGGGCCCAGGACCCACGUGUCAGCAGGUGAAUCCACUGUUCACUGGGGUGCAUCUAGCAUUUUUUUGAGAGUUUGAUCUUGAAUGCCCCUAGCCGUGGAUAUAAUCAUAUUUGCCCAUAUCUCUCCUUGGGUGUACCAAUUAUCGGUGCCCCAACUCGUUCAAAUUCAACCAAAGGGUUAAAAUUAACCCAGAGAUUUUUUCCCCGGAGUGGUUAUGUUUUCUUUGUGCUGUAACCCUAGGAAUCUCGGGGACGAGAUUCUUUUUAAGGUGGGAAGGUUUGUAACAACCACAAAAUUGGGUUAUCAAUUUUUGUGUUGUUAUUCCUUCCUGGCACUCCUUUUCAAAAUCUUUCUCCUGAGUUUUGUUGGAUGACUCUGAGGCUUCUUGUCAUUUGCAACCUUUCAAAACUUGUUCAUGUCUUUUUUAGUGGGCAAGACCUCGGUUGCAGCAUCUUAAACCCUCUCAAACCCUAAUUCCAAAAAAAUUGGAAUUUGAAUGUGGCCUUUUUGAUUACAAAGCAGCCAUCAUUUUCCUUGAUCUGUUGCUCACCCCAUCUGUUCCUUGAGACCCCCUAUCCUUUUCAACCUUGGAUAUGCAAAAAUAUUGCCAAGUCCCAUGCAAUAUUUUUGAAUUAUGAUUUAUUCCUUUACUUGCCUUUCUGAGGAAUAAAAUCCAAAGGCAUAGCUAGCCAUCUCCUAAAUUCAUGUGAAUUGGUAGAGUUGAUAAUUAUGCCUAAUCCAAGCUCUGGCAAUUAUAUUGGCCAUAAUUAAAUAAGGAAAAUUGACUUUUCUUAUUUAAUGCCAAUAUUCCAAUUCUGCCAUUUUCUAAAGGAACUACUAUUUUUAUAGCAGAUAAAAUUCCCACAUAAAUUGUGGAGCUUGUCCUUGCUAUAUAAUCACUAGUUUCAUCUUUAUCUCAUGUUCCAUAGAUAAAAAUUGGGCACAUGAUCCAAUGCAAGAUUAUGCCCUCUCUGGAAUUUUGCAAAGGAAGUGCUUUAUUCCUAAUUCCUUAUGAGCUGAAAUUUGGUAGGGUGAUGAAUAUUGAUAAAUAACCCAUGGACACCAAAGAUGAACUCAAUCCAAUCAUCUUAGCUCCUAGUGCAAUUUUUCAAAGUUUCUGACCAGAUUGUCACUUUGUGAAGGAAGUACCUUCAUAGUGUUCUCAAAUGGGAUGCAACUUUGCCAUCUUCUCAUGUGUCCCAAAUCAUUAGCCUCCACCCAAAUUCAGCUCAUUUCAUUGAGCUAUGUGAGCACAGGAGCAAUUCUGGUUUUCUGUCCAAAAUUUCAGUUUGUGAAGCAAGUAUAUUUUAUCUUGCUCCAUUAUGUCUGAAAAUAGUACCAAGCCUUCUACUAUCCCUAUAACCCACCUACCCAAGAGUUUGGCUAAUUUCAUUUGGCCAAUAUUUUCCUAGAAUUUUCCCAAGUUUCUGGUCAAAAGUGAUGCUUGUGAAGCAAGCACCAAUUUGGCAAGUCCAUUUGGUCUGAUCUUUUUACAGCAUCUACUUAUGACAAAAUCAUGAGGAUUUGCAAAGUUAUAGCUCAAUCCAACACUCUGAGUGUCUGCUUGUUCAUCAUCUAGUUUCUGGACCAGAAUUGGUAAUUGCACCGCAACUAUAUUAAAUCUAUGUCCUAAUGAUCUCAUAAUUACCAGGACCAUAGUCCUUGCUACCCUAAGCCUGCCAGACAUCAAUUUUACCAUUUAACCUCUCUGGUUUUACCUCUAGGAUGUUGCCAAGUUUGCAGCAGCAAACUAGUGGAGCUUGGUUUACUCAGCUCCAUUUGUCUGUGCCCAAAUCUUUAUGUGGUAAUACUCCACUUUGGAAGGACUACACGGUAGACAUGAGCUGGCAUCAGUAAAAACUCCAGAGCAUGCCAUGUCCGUGGUGAUCACGAGGGCAGCCAGCCAAAACGAUGGUCUAGCCACUGUUGGCCUCGGCAUCAUUGCUCCAGCUGGAUUUGGCUCGUCCCCGCAUGUCCAGUAGCUCCGCCUCGUUGUUGUUGUUCGCCUGGACCCCGCCCCCCCCUCCAUUUUCUUCUCCGGCGAGCCGUGCCAAAGGUCGAAUAGUGAGCGCCCGUGUGCACCAUCGCCUUCCUCCUCUGUCUUCUUCCUCCCUGAGCCUCGUUGGUGUUUCGUUGCUCCGUGAGCCUCUGCUGCUCGGCUGCAUCCUCCUCUUUGCCUUCCCGCCGCUUCUCGUGCGCCCUCGUGACUGCUGCGGCCGGCAGAGCCUCAGCCGGAUGCGCUCGGCGGUGCCUGGCUUGGGUGCCCCUGUCUCGGCUAUUUAUAGCCAGCCCGAGCCCUCCUCGAGCAAGCCAGCCCCUCCCCUCUCCCUCUGGAGCCCUCUCAUACCCGUGCCCGGCCGAAUCCCUCGCUGGAGCCCGGCAAUUUAGCCGGAGUUCGUCCACGGCCUCCGCGCCAAACCCCUCCCUCCAGCCGUCCCCUGCCCCAUCCGAGGCCAUGGAUGGACGCGCCACUCUCCGACGACCGUCCCUAGCCUGUUGCCCCCCUCAUUCCCCCACCGGAGUCACCCCAAUCACCGAGCCCCGCCGUCCUCUAUCUCCUCCGUCGCCGCAUCUCCAAGCCCUACCCGCCAUCGUUCUACCCUUAGGUGGGCGCGGUGCACGCCGGCGACCCCUUCCCCGUUGCUCCCUGGUCGGAUAGCUCAUUGGAGCGACGAGGCUACGCCGGUGCCGACGCCCUUGCUUCUGUGUCGGGAAGCAGGGGAGAAGAAGGAGGAAUGAGGCGUUGACCUGGCCAGGCAGGCCAGGUGGGACCCGCGCUUUUGCCCCGACCCCACCUGGCAGCGACCCUGGCACCCGGCCCCGCCUCUGCCACUUUGACUGGUCCAAUGCCAUGUCAGAUAAGUGGCGGUGCCCACCGCAAAGCCGUUUUCCUGCGAUGAAAAUGUAUUCUUAGAAAGACGCGUUCUGUUUAAACUACCAGGGACCUGUUUGUAGAAAUAUUUUUAUAGAUUAGUCCCUAAGCUUUAAAUGUCCGUAUCUUUUCAAACGUAGCUCCAAAUCAGGUGAUUCCAAAGCCCAUGUCUUCGUUUUGUCGAGCCCUUUCUGAUGGAAUCAUUUUCACCAUGUUUGCACAUUCUAAAAAUGACCAUUUUGCCCUUGCCGUAAUCAGCCCCCCGAGAGAGAACUGUUCCCGGCAAAUCUUCCCGCGAUCGUUUCACACUUCUUCCCGGAGUAUUUGUCAACCCCCAGGCAAUCCAACCUCUUAUCAUGAGCCCCGAACUUGCAUGUUGACUUUGAUUGCAGCUUGUGUGUGUGUAGUUACAGUUGUUUACUAUCGUUUUCGUUUGCAGUCAUUUCAUUAUGCCUAUCAUGCAUGCUUGUGUUUUCAUGAUAUCUUUUGCCAUGCUAAUUAAAAUAUUGUUAUUGAUAAUGCCAUGUCACUACUCUACUUCAUUUUCAUGACAUCGUUAUAAAAUGCUAUGAUGAUUGUAAUCCACCGUGGAUAUGUUAGUACUUGGUAUUGUCAUGUUCUUUAUGUUGUAGUGGUUCACUUGAGAAGCUCAAUAUUUUAUUAAAGCAUUUGUAUGAUGUAUGCUCAUUGUUGCAUUCAUGUUCAUGAUGAUGGAGAAGGAAAUAAAAUGACUUCAUGAUAACAAACCUCCUCUGUCAUUGAUGGGAUUGAGUCAUAGUGCCACCAAAUUGAACUUUUCAAGUGCUGCCACAUUUGCCUUUAUGGGAAGGCCUUAAUACAAUCUAUUGUCGUGCCUCUCGUUGGUGCCUCCAAUGAGGGAAGGUUAUGGGCACGCGCUACCCUGGUCAGGUAGGCGGACAUAAGCCUUGUGUGCCCGUUGUUGUUGUUAUGGUAUCGGGUCUCCGUGUGGGAUCGUUUAUGUUUUGGCCACGACAGUGGUCGUUGUGUCUUUGGUAGACACGGGGCCACCUAGGACUAGCCCAAUGGGGAGUGAGUCGGAGUGGCCGGGAGAGUGUCAUGACCUUUGGUCGGUUUCAUCGGAAUGCCGUUGGUGCACCCGAAUGGGAUGACGAUGCCAUCGGUUCCAUGGUAUGGGUACAGUGCACUACCACUGCAGAGUGUUUAUAAAGUCUAUCGAUAGCAACACAGUUCAUAGUAGGUCAGACUAUUGGGUCUUGGUCGAAUGGAGGAUAAACCUAAAAUAAUUAAGCUAGUAAUGUGGUAACAAGAAUGUGGUGACUUGGACUUUGAGAUAGUCAUGAGAAGUCACGGCAAUGUUUGGAUAUGAUCACGAGACGAGGUCUCGGUGAGUGUUGGAGACCAAGUGUUGGUCAUGGUUGUCAUUGCCGAAAGGAUCACCGUUUAAGGCCAAAUAUUGGUCGUGGUUGUGAUCGCCGGAAAGAUCACGAGAUAUCACUAGUUAAGACCUUGAGGUUGGUACGUUUGUGAUCCAUGAGUGAUCACCGUUCGGUUGCAAGGAAAUCCUUUGGUAAGAGAGUCCGAGGGACUCGGUGCACAAGUUUGGUUGCAUUGCAUGAGUAGUAAGUUUUUAUUUGCAUUUAAAGAACCAUGGGAGAACAUGAGAUGAUUGAAUGAAGGUAGCAUGUUAUGUCUGCAUUGGAUAUGAUUGGUAGCUUAUUUUCAGAAUAGUUUCAGGAUACCAUGCUAUGUUUGGAUUGAGUAUAUGCCAUGUUUUGAUUGAACUGGUGCCAUGCUUAGAUUAUGUCAUGAUCAAGAUACUAUGCUAUGCCAGGUUUUGCCGUUGCCAUGUUAGAAGUAAAUUUGAUAUGCCAUGUUAUUUCCAUGUUAGUAGGUGCUAUGAUGUUAUUCAUGCUCAGUUGAUCUAUAUCAUGCCAUGUUUAGUAAUUGAUAUGAGAUAGGUUGUUGCAUACACUUGGUUCCUGCUUUCUCUUCUAUUUGUUUGGAUGCUAUGUAUUUGGUUGUCUUGCAAGUACAUUCAAUGUACUGACCUGGCGUGUCAUGCCAAUUUUGUAGGUCGUGCUCGAAUUGUUCGUUGUUCCGUCGUGCUAGGCCGUAAUCUUGUCAGUCCUGUGAGUUGUGGAGCCCAGCCAGAGUGAUAUGCUGCCAAGAC
This 8540-nucleotide long non-coding RNA is filed under the name Triticum aestivum (bread wheat). Its description in RNAcentral is "long non-coding RNA (TAES_LNC022186)". Lineage: Eukaryota; Viridiplantae; Streptophyta; Magnoliopsida; Poales; Poaceae. The record is from RNAcentral.